AUUCCUCCAACAAAUAAGACAGAGAACUGCCUGUUUUUUUGGUUCCCUAUCGAAGGACGGAGCUUGGAACAACAUUUAUAACGGUUUAAUGACACAAAGAGUAAAAGGUGCUGCAGCCCAUCCAUCUGCUGAAUGUUGCCAAGUAACAGCCAUCCAUGGAACAUGGAAAAAUGAAUUCACCCGGCCAGGCCCAAAUUGUCGACCCACAGAACAUGAGAUCUGAAACGAAGCCAAGCAAAGCAACAUCACCUUCUGGAAAGUGCAGAAACUGCAAUCAAGAUCAACAAAGAAAAGCACCCUUCCCAUAGAUUCAUCUCUUUGGCGUUUAAGUGUUUGGGCGAGUCUACAAAACUCAGAUUCCUCAUUUAACUAGAUGUUCCAGGUCACAGAGAUAUUCUACUAAGGCAAUUUUCAAAAGACCAUAAAACCACCACAUCAAUUUAUGCUUGCAGGUAGUAUAAUUGCCUUUGUAUCAUAUAUUUUUAGAAAAAGUGGCUUAAAACAAUUUGAAUAGUGCUUUAGAAAUAAGACCCUUAAAUAAUUGACGCUGGUAUUGCCUUUCUUAACUCUGGGAUUUCAAAACAUUUUCCAAACAUUAAUUGCAAUGGGACCCUGGUGAGGCUGAUAUUAUCAUACCUAUUUUCCAAGACGAUAAGCAGGGAGCGCAGGGCCCGUUUCUUGUCUUGCCCCAUGCCCUUCAGAGCUUGUCCAAGCUCAGAGCUCCCUUAAAAACCAUUGGAUCAGCUCCAUGGGAGCACAGAGGAAAAUGAGAAAUGGGCUCUUGGAGAUUUAAGGGAUUCUGUAAGGUUGUGUGUGAGUGAGCUGUAGCUAAAAGUCAAAGCUGGAAAUCUAAGAUUCCUUAUUCAGUGCUUGGAUAUAUUUCCUCAUUAAGAUAAUUCAUGUAGAAUAUCAGGCUUGCAGGAAUAUGCUGGUAAGAAGUGGACUCUGUUGCUGUUUGUUUUUGAGUAACUUAUUUAAUAACAAAAAUGCCUCCCUUUGAUUUGAAUAAAAAUAAAUGGCUGGAUUUUCACAGGCAGCAUGCAUAGAAGACCAGCAAGGGCCAACAGUGAAUUUCGACACUGACUUUUAAAAAUUGUGAAAGAGAUGCUAACAGCCUAAUUUGCAGUGGAGACUAGAUUCUGUGGCUGUAUCAGGUGGUGGUAUAAAGAAGAGCCAUAUACAGAAGGUGAAAUGAGGGGUUAAAAGUCACGCUAAACAUGCUGCAAGGACCUGUGGGCAUCCCAACCUUUUUUUCUUUAAUUGGGAGGAGAAGAGCUUUUUACUAAAGAGUAAGUUCCACAAUGUAGGCCGGUGGCCCAACUGGGAAAUACUCUUGAUUUGAACAGUUUGCAGCAGUUCUUUUCUGAACUCUUUAUAUAGAUCCUCUUUCAAUAUGGGGACACAUAUUUUAAGGUAAAAGGGGUAUUUUACUAAUUUUUUUUAAUGAAGCUUUCACUGCAAGCAAUAUUUGGAGUUAGUAAUCACCGGCUGGUUUCUUUCCCUCCUGCACUGCAGGAAUGAGGCCACUUUCACAGCUGGUUGUCAGCACAUCUCUUAUUACUAACACCAAUUAUUGAUUUUUAAAAGGCCUACGCUAUUAGUACCCUGCUACAUCUCUUCACGUACAAUAUGUGUUUUAAAAAUUCCUUUUGUAAAAAUAUAAAAUCUGAGUCCAACCUUUCUAUCAUCACUGUGCUUGUUCUUUACAUUUUAUCUUAUACCUUCACAGGAAAGCAAACCCGGAAUCUUUUUUUUUUUUUAACUUUUGGGCUAAUUUAGAAGCAGAAAUACUUUGCCCAUAUGAUCUCUCUGGCAGGUAUCACAUUAUAAAAAAGCAAAUGGUGCGUAGUGAGGGAGGAUGAAAGAACAUAAUUAGAGGGUUUAGGAUCUUCUAUCCCCUUUUCUCUGCCUUUAUUUCGUGCCAUCCCAAUCUAUGUUUAAGCCAAUCAUAAAAACCCACCUGGCGUCAUCCCCACUAGGGUGGCUGCUUUUGCAUAGGACUGCACCCCAAAUUGGACUUUUCUCUUCUCUUUGAAAGUUCUCAAUGAAGGUGAAUUUUAGGAUUUCUUUCAAAAGAUACUAUUCACACGUCAGUCAUUCUAGUUGUUGAUAUAUUGUCCAAAUGAUAGGCGGCUCUGAGAAUAUUUAUCUUUAGCAAUAUUUAUGGGUGUAUUAGUUUUGUAGAGCUGGUGUAACAAAGCUCUAUGAAAACGCUACAAAGCUCACCAAAAACUGGAUGGCUUAAACAGCAGAAAUUAACGUUCUCAUAGUUCUAGAGGCUAGACAUGCACCAUCAAAGUGUCAGCAAGGUUGGUUUCUGCUGAGGGAUGUGAGGGAUAAUCUGUUUAUGCCCAUUUCCUAAUUUCUGGUAGUUUUCUGGAAAUUUUGGCAUUUUUUGGAUUAUAGAUGCAUUUUCUGGUAUCUUCCUUCAUGCUCACAUAGGAUUCUCCCUGUGUGUGUGUCUAUGUCUGUGUCUAAAUUUCCCCUUUUUAUAAAGACUCAGUCGUAUUGAUUAGGGACCACCCAAAUGAUUUCAUCUGCUAGGAUACCAUAUCCAAUUAAGGUCACAUUUACUGAGAGAAAGCACUUCAACAACUUUUUGGGCAACA
RNAcentral lists this long non-coding RNA (2609 nucleotides) under Homo sapiens (human). RNAcentral describes it as "non-protein coding lnc-FAM172A-7:8". The record is from RNAcentral. Lineage: Eukaryota; Metazoa; Chordata; Mammalia; Primates; Hominidae.